AGCGGAUCGCGGCCACCUGGGCGGUGCGACCCCUUGCUAGGACUGGGAGAUCCAGCGCGUUCAACCGCACCAACGUCUGCCGUGCCGCCGUUCCUCCGCCGCUUCGUUACACAUUUUCUGGCAACGUCUCGAGUCUUGAGCAAUAGCAGUGCGCCAGGCACUCUCGUCAUAGAUAGUUCGCGCGUUACUCCACCCGAACCAAGGGGCGUGUGCUUGCCCUAAACCUUUUCCAGGGAAAUACUUUACCGGUUCUGCUGAAUAAUCGGAAAAAAUGUAACCACCGUGAGCAAAAGAACUAGGUUCCCAGAGUUCCGUUCAAAGGCAGGAAAGAAACUCUAGGGCGGUUAAUAUAAAGAAUAUAUAGGGCUGGCCUGUGUGACAAGUCCCACUAGACGUCUCAUGGGAAAAUAUGCCCCUUUUUUUUUUUUGCCAGGGAGGUUUAGUUUAUUCUAGGGCUGCCCACCUCACUGAAAACACAAAACAAAACAGGACACCUUCCCAUCUGCACUGGCCUGUUUGUUGUCAUCCCCAGAGGUCCUGACGGCUCAACACAAAAUUGAUUACUGAAAAAGGAAUUUGGUUUGUUCAUGCAACCACCGCUACAAUCAAGAUACAGAACUGUUCCAUCACUACAAACAUCUCCCUUGUGCUACUACUUUAGUAGCACAGCUACUCCUCUCCCCCACCCCCAUCAACCUUAAUCCCUGGCAGCCACUUAUCUAUUCUUCCUUUUUAUAAUUUAUUUGAAGAAUGUUACAGAAAUGGGAUCACUGAAAUGAUCUUUUUUUUUCACUCAGCAUAUUUGGUGGAAUAAUUUGCUUGGUGAUGACCUGCUCCCACUCUUGUUGUUUUGGGUUUGUACCAUUUUGAUUCCUUUGCCAUUUGUCAGUUGAUAUUGGGCAUGAUAAACACACAUGACUGGUCUGUUAUUCUUCUACUAGGAAGAAAUAUUUUGUUAAAUAACUUUUCAGAGGGUAUUUUCUGUAUGAAAAUUAUCUAAAAUAUACAUCUCUGAUGCUAGAACUUUAGAGGUUCUGAGAAUGAACUUAAUGUUGAGGUGUUUAAGUAAUUUUGAUUCAGUAGGUGGCACUCUUUCCUAGUUUAACUCAAUCCUAAAUUAGUGUUUGAAUUUCAGUUCAGGGUAGAAAGAUUUUAUUUAUCCUUACAAUCCAAAUAAAUGUUUUCAGAAUUGGGUUGUCAAUUCUGACCAAUUUAUAUUUUCACAACUUAAAAUGUUUGAGUUAAAUUUCAAAGUAAAAAUCUGAAAAAAAAUCUAAAACUAAAAUCUCCAACAUUUCUAAAUUUCUAGAACAGUAGUGUUAAUAGUGACUUAUGCUCUAUCAAAAGUUAAAAAUAAUCAAAAUCUUACCAGAAGUCCUGAGUACUAAAGACAUUCAGAUUCAAGCUGUUAAAUAUUUUAUAAAUAUUCUCUUAUUCCACUCCAGUAUUCUUGCCUGGA
This is a non-coding RNA of Odocoileus virginianus texanus, 1459 nucleotides long. Lineage: Eukaryota; Metazoa; Chordata; Mammalia; Artiodactyla; Cervidae. The record is from RefSeq and is a predicted model, not a curated record.